Dipodomys ordii (Ord's kangaroo rat) is the source of this 61-nucleotide non-coding RNA. The record is from Rfam. NCBI's taxonomy places the organism in Eukaryota, Metazoa, Chordata, Mammalia, Rodentia, Heteromyidae.
GGCGCUGUGGCUCAAAUGGUAGAGCGCUACACUUGAGCUGUAGAGCUGAGGGACAGUGUCC